UACGUAGGGUGCGAGCGUUGUCCGGAAUCAUUGGGCGUAAAGCGCGUGUAGGCGGUCCGGUAAGUCCGCUGUGAAAGUCGGGGGCUCAACUCCGGAGGGUCGGUGGAUACUGCCAGUCUUGAAGGUGCUAGGGGGAGAUGGAAUUACCGGUGUAGCGGUGAAAUGCGUAGAUAUCGGUAGGAACACCAGUGGCGAAGGCGGUCUCCUGGGGCAUUCUUGACGCUGAGGCGCGAAAGCUGGGGGAGCAAACGGG
This 253-nucleotide ribosomal RNA is filed under the name uncultured bacterium. RNAcentral describes it as "partial 16S ribosomal RNA". It matches the Rfam family "Bacterial small subunit ribosomal RNA", at positions 524 to 776 of the family's 1533-position model. The record is from RNAcentral.